Long non-coding RNA from Eleginops maclovinus (Patagonian blennie), 545 nucleotides. RefSeq lists it as uncharacterized. Lineage: Eukaryota; Metazoa; Chordata; Actinopteri; Perciformes; Eleginopidae. The transcript is spliced from 3 exons. The record is from RefSeq and is a predicted model, not a curated record.
GCAUUCAAGCGAGGAGCGGGAAAUUACUCGACGCCAUUGAACAACGAGCUGUAGAGAGACAGAGGAAACUUCCAGGCUUCCAGGAAAAAGCCCAUCGCCAUCCCAGGAAACUACGCCUGCAGGGCGGAAGUGCAGAAGCCCGCGAAAGUCGCCCCGCAGCGACGCUCUCCAAAUGCCACAGGAUGACUAUCGGCAAAUCGAGCGAGGCAGGAUUAAUUGUAACUCGAUGUCUAUUACUGCCACUGCUGCUUAGUUCAAGCCAGCAACGUGGGUGAGGAGAUGAGGGGGGAGAAAAGGGAGUGACAGAGGUAGAGAUGAUUGUUGGAGAGGGAAUUGGGGAUGUGAAGGAGGAGAGGAGGAUGCUGUGCAGCCAGGAUGUCCAGACUGUCCGUGGCCCUGACAUUUCCCCCUUGUCUCAGCACAAUCUCAGGCCUCCUGCUGAACAACACCCCCUCCUCCUCCCCCCCACACACAGAUAACACACUCCCACACAGCAUGAGGGAGUAACACACCAAGGGCGAAACAUCCCAGACCUCCAGAGUCAC